GACGACCAGCCUGCAGAUGGAUCAUCUCCCACCACUAAAAAGAGAACUGCUCUCGUGUGGCAUUCUGCGUCUUUGAAGUUUCAGAGCCUGCUGGAGAGAGACCAUCACAGUAAUCAGUGAACCCCAGACACCAGCCUGAGUGUGGAGUAAAGUCCUUCAGUAAUUCUGAUUAGGAAGAUCCCAAGCCUGUACUGCUGAAAUACUGGACCACAGACGAGGCAGCAAUUAAAAGAGGCUGCAACUGACUUCACCAGUUCCAGGAUCGGGAGCUCCUCCAUCAGCCAGCUUUUCCAAGGCUUCUCACUUCAGUGACCGUUUGUAAACAUCAUAAAGAGCAAGAAUAAACACACUAUUGCUGCCACAUUUAAAUGAUCCUCCAAAUGCUCAAUUUCACAGAGGUUUGUUUAGUUUUGCAUAAUUAGUUUUUUGCUUUGUAGAACUGUGCAGAAAAGUGGUACAAUAAUAAGAUUACAUGAUCUAAUAGUCCAGGUGAAGUUUUAAAAGAUUUUCUAAAAUCAAAACAAAGCUGACAACUGCAUUC
Non-coding RNA from Chiloscyllium plagiosum (whitespotted bambooshark), 541 nucleotides. The record is from RefSeq and is a predicted model, not a curated record. NCBI's taxonomy places the organism in Eukaryota, Metazoa, Chordata, Chondrichthyes, Orectolobiformes, Hemiscylliidae.